UAGGGAAUUUUCGUCAAUGGGGGGAACCCUGAACGAGCAAUGCUGCGUGAGUGAGGAAGGUCUUCGGAUCGUAAAGCUCUGUUGUAAGAGAAAAACGACAUUCAUAGGGAAUGAUGAGUGAGUGAUGGUAUCUUACCAGAAAGUCACGGCUAACUACGUGCCAGCAGCCGCGGUAAUACGUAGGUGGCGAGCGUUAUCCGGAAUGAUUGGGCGUAAAGGGUGCGUAGGUGGCAGAACAAGUCUGGAGUAAAAGGUAUGGGCUCAACCCGUACUGGCUCUGGAAACUGUUCAGCUAGAGAACAGAAGAGGACGGCGGAACUCCAUGUGUAGCGGUAAAAUGCGUAGAUAUAUGGAAGAACACCGGUGGCGAAGGCGGAUUACUGGACGACCACUGACGCUGAGACACGAAAGCGUGGGGAGCAAACAGGAUUAGAUACCCUGGUAGUCCACGCUGUAAACGAUGAAUGCUAGGUGUGGGUGCGAUAGCAUCCGUGCCGCAGUUAACACAAUAAGUAUCCCACCUGGGGAGUACGAUCGCAAGGUUGAAACUCAAAGGAAUUGACGGGGGCCCGCACAAGCAGUGGAUUAUGUGGUUUAAUUCGAAGCAACGCGAAGAACCUUACCAGGGCUUGACAUCCUGCUAACGAGGUAGAGAUACAUUAGGUGCCCUUCGGGGAAAGCAGAGACAGGUGGUGCAUGGUUGUCGUCAGCUCGUGUCGUGAGAUGUUGGGUUAAGUCCCGCAACGAGCGCAACCCUUAUUGUUAGUUGCUACGCAAGAGCACUCUAGCGAGACUGCCGUUGACAAAACGGAGGAAGGUGGGGACGACGUCAAAUCAUCAUGCCCCUUACGUCCUGGGCCACACACGUAAUACAAUGGUGGACAUACAGAGGGAUGCAAAACCGCGAGGUGGAGCGAACCCCUAAAAGCCAUCUCAGUUCGGAUUGCAGGCUGCAACUCGCCUGCAUGAAGUUGGAAUUGCUAGUAAUCGCGGAUCAGCAUGCCGCGGUGAAUACGUUCCC
RNAcentral lists this ribosomal RNA (1021 nucleotides) under uncultured bacterium. Its description in RNAcentral is "bacterial SSU rRNA". It matches the Rfam family "Bacterial small subunit ribosomal RNA", at positions 355 to 1375 of the family's 1533-position model. The record is from RNAcentral.